RNAcentral lists this ribosomal RNA (421 nucleotides) under uncultured bacterium. RNAcentral describes it as "bacterial SSU rRNA". It matches the Rfam family "Bacterial small subunit ribosomal RNA", at positions 356 to 774 of the family's 1533-position model. The record is from RNAcentral.
GAGGAAUAUUGGGCAAUGCCCGCAAGGGUGACCCAGCAACGCCGCGUGGAGGAUGAAUGUCGUAAGAUUGUAAACUCCUGUUAGAGGGGAAGAAUAGUACCGGUUGGACCGGUAUAUGACUGUACCCUCAGAGAAAGCCCCGGCUAACUACGUGCCAGCAGCCGCGGUAAUACGUAGGGGGCAAGCGUUGUCCGGAUUUACUGGGUGUAAAGGGCGCGCAGGCGGGAUAAAAAGUCAGUGGUGAAAUCCUACAGCUUAACUGUAGAACUGCUUUUGAUACUUUUAUUCUUGAGUUCGGGAGAGAGAGACGGAAUUCCAGGUGUAGUGGUGAAAUACGUAGAUAUCUGGAAGAACACCAGUUGCGAAGGCGGUCUCUUGGUCCGACACUGACGCUGAGGCGCGAAAGCGUGGGGAGCAAACA